GGGUCAGUAGGUUGGUCGUGCCACCGGUACGUACUGGUCUCACUGAUUCCUCCUUCCUGAAGAGCCGUAAUGCCAUUAAUUUGGUGUUGCGGGGAAACAGGACUGUUACUUUGAAAAAAUUAGAGUGUUUAAUGCAAGCUAACGCUUGAAUACAUUAGCAUGGAAUAAUGAAAUAGGACGAUCGAUCCUAUUUUGUUGGUUUCUAGGAUUGACGUA
RNAcentral lists this ribosomal RNA (216 nucleotides) under Glomeromycotina sp. RNAcentral's name for it is "partial small subunit ribosomal RNA". The stretch from base 40 to 216 matches the Rfam family "Eukaryotic small subunit ribosomal RNA", at positions 686 to 864 of the family's 1831-position model. The record is from RNAcentral. Lineage: Eukaryota; Fungi; Glomeromycota.